GAUGAACGCUGGCGGCGUGCCUAAUACAUGCAAGUCGAGCGAACAGACGAGGAGCUUGCUCCUCUGACGUUAGCGGCGGACGGGUGAGUAACACGUGGAUAACCUACCUAUAAGACUGGGAUAACUUCGGGAAACCGGAGCUAAUACCGGAUAAUAUAUUGAACCGCAUGGUUCAAUAGUGAAAGACGGUUUUGCUGUCACUUAUAGAUGGAUCCGCGCCGCAGUAGCUAGUUGGUAAGGUAACGGCUUACCAAGGCAACGAUGCGUAUCUGACCUGAGAGGGUGAUAGGCCACACUGGAACUGAGACACGGUCCAGACUCCUACGGGAGGCAGCAGUAGGGAAUCUUCCGCAAUGGGCGAAAGCCUGACGGAGCAGCGCCGCGUGAGUGAUGAAGGUCUUCGGAUCGUAAAACUCUGUUAUUAGGGAAGAACAAAUGUGUAAGUAACUAUGCACGUCUUGACGGUACCUAAUCAGAAAGCCACGGCUAACUACGUG
RNAcentral lists this ribosomal RNA (497 nucleotides) under uncultured bacterium. RNAcentral's name for it is "partial 16S ribosomal RNA". It matches the Rfam family "Bacterial small subunit ribosomal RNA", at positions 28 to 507 of the family's 1533-position model. The record is from RNAcentral.